AAAUUAGGCGUACUAUAAAAUGUCUAACCAGUUUUCGUCUUAAUGUAAAAUGGUUUUUAAUGACAUUUAGACGUCUUGUAAAAGAACGGAAAAAAUUAUCAAACAUUUUAUAAAAUUCCACUUUCUAUUGUAAUUAGGUAAUUUAAUAAUAAAUUACUUAUUGUAAGUGAAUUAAACCAUUGUUUAUUUACGAGAAGAAAAUUUAAUACCACGAGCGCAAGCGAGUGGAUUAAUUCUUCGAGCAAAUUAAUAGGUUUAAUUCACGUGUCGUAUAUAUUUUUUUAUUCAAUUUUGACCAAAAUUUACCAAAAAAUGCAAGAAAAUUUCCAUAACAACGAGUUGUUUAUUUAUUUGCAAAAGUGCGAGAAUUGUAACGCGUAUGGAAAAAAUGGCUAGAAUCAGCGAUUUUAAAGAGGAAAACCAGGUUUUCGUGCCUGAAUUGGUCAUUCAAGAAGCUUCAGAAGCUAUAAAUAAAGUGGUGCCAGCAAAAUCUAAACAAUUAUACGAAAAAGAGUAUUCAAAUUUUUGUGAAUGGAGGAAGCGGAAGGAUGCAAAGGGAGUAGACGAGAGAAUAAUUUUGGCUUAUAUUUCUGAACGAUCCAAAAAUGCAAAAUCUUCGUCAUUGUGGGCGUAUUAUUCCCAACUGAAGAAAAUGUUAUCUGUUAAAGAAAAUAUCGUUAUAAGCAGAUUUCAUCAGGUAUCUGCUUUCUUAAAACAACACUCUGUAGGGCACAGACCAAAGAAAUCUAAAGUCUUCAGCUUCGAAGAAAUGGAAAAGUUUUUAGACACUGCUUCAGAUGAUGAAUAUUUGCUGAAAAAAGUGGUUCUAAUUGUGGGAGUUUUUGGAGGCUGUAGAAUUGGAGAA
This is a long non-coding RNA of Tribolium castaneum (red flour beetle), 865 nucleotides long. RefSeq lists it as uncharacterized. The record is from RefSeq and is a predicted model, not a curated record. The transcript has 2 exons. Lineage: Eukaryota; Metazoa; Arthropoda; Insecta; Coleoptera; Tenebrionidae.